CCUACGGGUGGCAGCAGUGAGGAAUAUUGGUCAAUGGCCGUGAGGCUGAACCAGCCAAGUCGCGUGAGGGAAGAAUGCCCUAUGGAUUGUAAACCGCUUUUGUCCGGGAGUAAAGUCACCCACGUGUGGGGGUUGGAGAGUACCUGAAGAAAAAGCAUCGGCUAAUUCCGUGCCAGCAGCCGCGGUAAUACGGAGGAUGCGGGCGUUAUCCGGAUUUAUUGGGUUUAAAGGGUGCGUAGGCGGGUUAUCAAGUCAGCGGUAAAAUCGUGGGGCUCAACACCGUCCAGCCGUGGAAACUGGGGUUCUUGAGUGGGCGGGACGUAUGCGGAAUGCGUGGUGUAGCGGUGAAAUGCAUAGAUAUCACGCAGAACUCCGAUUGCGAAGGCAGUAUACCGGAGCCCGACUGACGCUGAAGCACGAAGGCGUGGGUAUCGAACAGGAUUAGAUACCCUUGUAGUC
This 459-nucleotide ribosomal RNA is filed under the name uncultured bacterium. RNAcentral describes it as "partial 16S ribosomal RNA". It matches the Rfam family "Bacterial small subunit ribosomal RNA", at positions 338 to 795 of the family's 1533-position model. The record is from RNAcentral.